This 1211-nucleotide long non-coding RNA is filed under the name Calidris pugnax (ruff). RNAcentral's name for it is "lncRNA (ENSCPUG00000012766.1)". The record is from RNAcentral. Lineage: Eukaryota; Metazoa; Chordata; Aves; Charadriiformes; Scolopacidae.
CUUGAACCUGGGUACUCUUCCCUACUCACCGUCUGGCUAUAAAUUUCCAGAAUCUGCAGCCAUUUAUAAUUUUCACUCCUCUUUAUGCUUUUAUUCAAAACCUUCUAAUUUCAGCAGCCUAAUGUUUUUAACCAUUGAGGGGGCAGAUGCAGGGAAAAUGAGAUGGCACAGACUGAAAAGGGUGGGUUGUGGUUUAUUUAAAAAAAAAAAAAAAAGGCAAGAGAGAGAGCUGGGGCUAUGUGGCUAGUAUUUGCAUCUGUUGUUUCUGAUUCGCAGAGCUAGCAAAGGCUGCUUUUGGAGGCAGUCCACAAAGCUGGGCUAUCAGUAGGCAGUUUGCUGUACGCGCACGUUCAAUUAUUAAAAUAGUAGACUUUUUUUUCUGUCUGAUAGCCAUAGCGAGGUCAUGACAUUAAUUUAUCCAGGGUAUUGUGGGUAACUAUACAGAAAAAAAGCAUAAAGGGCACAGAUGCUGGAGCAGCAAAAAAUGGAUGGGUCUGAGCAAAAGGAGAUUAAGAGGCGAUGACCAAUCUAAUCUGAACGGCUUCCCGAAGAGCACUGAGUUUUCUAUGCCAGAUUCUGCUCCAGUGGCUAGGACCUUUAUGGCUGCUGUUUCUUUUGCUCUGGGCUCUGAUGGAGGAAAAAAAAAAAAAAAAAAAAGCCACGGUGGAUCCCGUCCCUAAAGUAGAAAUUUUCUUUUUCAUUCUGCAAACAAGCCUAAAGAUCGGAGGAGAAUGAAUGCGAAAGUAAUUCAGGAUUGUGGUCGUGCCAUUAAAAGUGUUCGGCUUCAGAACGAAAUUAUUCGAGAAACCAGAGCAUUUCUUCUUACUGUAUCGACAGUAUUUGAAAGUUAUGUGUGCUUUAAGUAAUCUGGUUCAAGUGACAACAAUCUCUGCAUGUCAAUGUUUUCUACAGCUUAUGGAGUGAAAGCUAGUUUUGCCACUGGAGAGGAAGAAGCUUUUGCUAGCAGUCUGUAGAAGGAUUAAAUGUUGAACGUGGGGAAGAGGCAAAAAAGUGAAUACACGCCCAAAGGUUAUCCUUGCAUCGUGAAUGGGUUUAAAGUACUCUGUAACCCAGGGCCCACCUGAACAGUAGGACUAAAAGUAUAAUGGGGAAAUAUUUCAAUUAGAAACCCCUUAACAAGCAUUUAAUCCUUUUUUCAGGCAUUAAGGGAAAGAGAAUAAAAUUGUUACUGUACAAAUCUGCUGGAAGCA